CCUACGGGAGACAGCAGUGGGGAAUAGUGGGCAAUGGGCGCAAGCCUGACCCAGCAACGCCGCGUGAAGGAAGAAGGCUUUCGGGUUGGAAACUUCUUUUAAGGGGGAAGAGGAGAAGACGGGACCCCUGGAAUAAGCCACGGCUAACGACGGGCCAGCAGCCGCGGUAAUACGUAGGUGGCAAGCGUUGUCCGGAUUUACUGGGUGUAAAGGGCGUGCAGCCGGGAGGACAAGUCAGAUGUGAAAUCCCGCGGCUCAACCGCGGAACUGCCUUUGAAACUGUUUUUCGUGAGUACCGGAGAGGUCCUCGGACUUCCUUGUGUAGCGGUGAACUGCUUAGAUAUCA
This 346-nucleotide ribosomal RNA is filed under the name uncultured bacterium. Its description in RNAcentral is "partial 16S ribosomal RNA". It matches the Rfam family "Bacterial small subunit ribosomal RNA", at positions 338 to 699 of the family's 1533-position model. The record is from RNAcentral.